CCCACUUCGGCCGGGCCGCCUUUUGACACGGAGCAGCAGCCUGGUCCCCUGUGCUCUGCGUGCGCCACCCUGCGCUUUGCCAAGACACUGGUCCUGUGGAGGACAGCGGCCGCCGCAGCUCUGGACACAGCUGUCCAGUGGGACUCCUGCCCGGCGUCCCUCCUGUGGUUGCAGGCGGCAUCCUCUCGGAAUUCCUUAUUUCCACCCUGACCCCCUCUCCGAACUCGGGACCUUCAACACAGCGGGACACCUUCCCCACAGUGACUCAGGACCACCUCACCAAACUUGAUGGCAGCAGUUUGAUGGCAGAGUCUCAAGUUGCUGGAGCUCAAAGGGACCUUGGAUUUUUCCAGGUCUACUUUGAUGGGAGUUUUUAUAUUUCAAAAGGUUUGAUCCAUCCUGCAAACAGGUUCUCUCUAAAUUGCC
This 426-nucleotide long non-coding RNA is filed under the name Heterocephalus glaber (naked mole-rat). RNAcentral's name for it is "lncRNA (ENSHGLG00000048938.1)". The record is from RNAcentral. Lineage: Eukaryota; Metazoa; Chordata; Mammalia; Rodentia; Bathyergidae.